Molecule: ribosomal RNA, 253 nt
Filed under: uncultured bacterium
Lineage: Bacteria
Description: partial 16S ribosomal RNA
Rfam family: Bacterial small subunit ribosomal RNA
Source: RNAcentral
UACGUAGGUGGCGAGCGUUGUCCGGAUUUACUGGGCGUAAAGCGCGCGCAGGCGGUCGUGCAAGUCGCGUGUGAAAGCCCCCGGCUCAACUGGGGAGGGUCACGCGAUACUGCUCGACUCGAAGGCAGGAGAGGGAAGUGGAAUUCCCGGUGUAGUGGUGAAAUGCGUAGAUAUCGGGAGGAACACCAGUGGCGAAGGCGACUUCCUGGCCUGUUCUUGACGCUGAGGCGCGAAAGCUAGGGUAGCAAACGGG